This 86-nucleotide transfer RNA is filed under the name Sulfitobacter litoralis. RNAcentral's name for it is "tRNA-Leu". It matches the Rfam family "tRNA". Rfam says of the family: Transfer RNA (tRNA) molecules are approximately 80 nucleotides in length. Their secondary structure includes four short double-helical elements and three loops (D, anti-codon, and T loops). Lineage: Bacteria; Pseudomonadati; Pseudomonadota; Alphaproteobacteria; Rhodobacterales; Roseobacteraceae. The record is from RNAcentral.
GCCCAGGUGGUGGAAUGGUAGACACGUCAGCUUGAGGGGCUGAUGGCCGCAAGGCCGUAUGAGUUCGAGUCUCAUCCUGGGCACCA